Molecule: ribosomal RNA, 324 nt
Filed under: uncultured eukaryote
Lineage: Eukaryota
Description: partial 18S ribosomal RNA
Rfam family: Eukaryotic small subunit ribosomal RNA
Source: RNAcentral
CCCUUAGAUGUUCUGGGCCGCACGCGCGCUACACUGAUGCAUUCAACGAGUUUCUUCCUGGUCCGAGAGGAAUGGGUAACCUUUUGAAAGUGCAUCGUGAUAGGGAUAGACUAUUGCAAUUAUUGGUCUUCAACGAGGAAUUCCUAGUAGACGUAGUUCAUCAGACAGCAUCGAUUACGUCCCUGCCCUUUGUACACACCGCCCGUCGCUCCUACCGAUUGAAUGCUCAGGUGAGCCAUUCGGACUUUCAUCAUGCUGGUUUCCAGUUUUGAUGAAGGAAAGUCUUGCGAACCUUAUCAUUUAGAGGAAGGAGAAGUCGUAACA